This 484-nucleotide ribosomal RNA is filed under the name uncultured bacterium. RNAcentral's name for it is "partial 16S ribosomal RNA". It matches the Rfam family "Bacterial small subunit ribosomal RNA", at positions 28 to 523 of the family's 1533-position model. The record is from RNAcentral.
GACGAACGCUGGCGGCGUGCCUAACACAUGCAAGUCGAGCGGAGACAGCAAGUAGCUAUACGAACUGUUUUAGCGGCGGACGGGUGAGUAACGCGUGAGCAACCUGUCCCAAACAGGGGGAUAACGAACCGAAAGGUUCACUAAUACCGCAUAAGACGACAGAGUCACAUGGCCCAGGGGUCAAAGGAGAAAUCCGGUUUGGGGUGGGCUCGCGUCUGGUUAGCUAGUUGGUGGGGUAACGGCCUACCAAGGCGACGAUCAGUAGCCGACCUGAGAGGGUGAUCGGCCACAUUGGAACUGAGACACGGUCCAAACUCCUACGGGAGGCAGCAGUGGGGAAUAUUGGGCAAUGGGCGAAAGCCUGACCCAGCAACGCCGCGUGAAGGAAGAAGGUUUUCGGAUCGUAAACUUCUAUCCUUGGUGAAGAUAAUGACGGUACCUUAUUAGAAAGCCACGGCUAACUACGUGCCAGCCGCCGCCGUAA